This 89-nucleotide unclassified non-coding RNA is filed under the name Pseudomonas salomonii. Lineage: Bacteria; Pseudomonadati; Pseudomonadota; Gammaproteobacteria; Pseudomonadales; Pseudomonadaceae. The record is from RNAcentral.
UGUGGGAGCUGGCUUGCCCGCGAUGGCGGUGGGUCAGUCAGUACAUCCAUGACUGACAGGCCGUUAUCGCGGGCAAGCCAGCCUCCCAC